This 500-nucleotide ribosomal RNA is filed under the name uncultured bacterium. RNAcentral's name for it is "partial 16S ribosomal RNA". It matches the Rfam family "Bacterial small subunit ribosomal RNA", at positions 30 to 523 of the family's 1533-position model. The record is from RNAcentral.
AUUGAACGCUGGCGGAAUGCUUUACACAUGCAAGUCGAACGAUGAACCUUAGCUUGCUAAGGGGAUUAGUGGCGAACGGGUGAGUAAUGUAUCGGAACGUAUCCAAUAAUGGGGGAUAACUGGUCGAAAGAUUAGCUAAUACCGCAUACGUCCUACGGGAGAAAGCUAGGGACCUUCGGGCCUGGCGUUAAUGGAGCGGCCGAUAUCUGAUUAGCUAGUUGGUGGGGUAAAGGCUCACCAAGGCGACGAUCAGUAGCUGGUCUGAGAGGACGACCAGCCACACUGGAACUGAGACACGGUCCAGACUCCUACGGGAGGCAGCAGUGGGGAAUUUUGGACAAUGGGCGAAAGCCUGAUCCAGCCAUUCCGCGUGAGUGAAGAAGGCCUUCGGGUUGUAAAGCUCUUUCGCAAGAGAAGAAAACUUAAGCUCUGACAUAGCUUGAGGUUGACGGUACCUUGAUAAGAAGCACCGGCUAACUACGUGCCAGCCGCCGCCGUAA